ACGGUUUGACUAACGCAUGGGAACAUACCCUUUCCUGCGGAAUAUGUCCGGGAAACUGGAAUUCAUACCACGGACGCCCUACCGGGGAAAGAUUUAUCGGGGAAGGAUUGGCCCGCGUUGGAUUAGCUCUUUGGUGGGGUAAAGGCCUACAUUGGCUACGAUCCGAAGCUGGUCUGAGAGGAUGAUCAGAUCCAUUGCUGACUGAGACACGAUGAUCACUCCUACUGGAGGCAACACUGGGGAAUAUUGGACAAUGGGCGCAAGCCUGAUCCAUAUUGGACGCGUGAGUGAUGAAUGCCUUAGGGUUGUAAAGCUCUUUCACCAAGGAAUAUGAUGGCGGUAGUCGGAGAAGAAGCCCCGGCUAACUUCGUGCCAUACAGCCGCGGUUUUGACGUUGGGGCUAGCGUUGUUCCGAAUUACUGGGCGUAAAGCGCACGUAGGCGGAUAUUUAAGUCAGGGGUGAAAUCCCGCACUCAACUGCGGAACUGCCUUUGAUACUGGGUAUCUUGAAUAUGGAAGAGGUAAGUGCAAUUCCGAGUGUGCAGGUGAAAUUCGUAAAUUUUCGUAGGAACACCAGUGGUGGAAUUUCCUGUACUGGUCCAUUACUGACGCUGAUGUGCGAGGAGCGUGAGGAGCAAACAGGAUUAGAUACCCUGGAUACUCCAC
RNAcentral lists this ribosomal RNA (666 nucleotides) under Rhizobium sp. Its description in RNAcentral is "bacterial SSU rRNA". It matches the Rfam family "Bacterial small subunit ribosomal RNA", at positions 100 to 798 of the family's 1533-position model. The record is from RNAcentral. Lineage: Bacteria; Pseudomonadati; Pseudomonadota; Alphaproteobacteria; Hyphomicrobiales; Rhizobiaceae.